Molecule: ribosomal RNA, 459 nt
Filed under: uncultured bacterium
Lineage: Bacteria
Description: partial 16S ribosomal RNA
Rfam family: Bacterial small subunit ribosomal RNA
Source: RNAcentral
CCUACGGGAGGCAGCAGUGAGGAAUAUUGGUCAAUGGCCGGAAGGCUGAACCAGCCAAGCCGCGUGAGGGAGGAAGGCGCAGAGCGUCGCAGACCUCUUUUGCCGGGGGACAAAAGGCCGGACUCGUCCGGUCCUGAGGGUACCCGGAGAAAAAGCAUCGGCUAACUCCGUGCCAGCAGCCGCGGUAAUACGGAGGAAGCGAGCGUUAUCCGGAUUCAUUGGGUUGAAAGGGUGCGCAGGCGGGCCUUUAAGGCGGCGGUGAAAUCGCGGGGCUCAACCCCGCCGAGUCGUCGGAAGUGGGGGCCUUGAGUGCGGCGGAGGCAUGCGGAAUGCGCGGUGUAGCGGUGAAAUGCAUAGAUAUCGCGCAGAACUCCGAUUGCGAAGGCAGCAUGCCGGCUCCACACUGACGCUGAGGCACGAAAGCGUGGGUAUCGAACAGGAUUAGAUACCCGUGUAGUC